CCUACGGGAGGCUGCAGUGGGGAAUAUUGGACAAUGGGGGGAACCCUGAUCCAGCCAUGCCGCGUGUGUGAAGAAGGCCCUCGGGUUGUAAAGCACUUUCAGUGAGGAAGAACGCCUGGUGGUUAAUACCCAUCAGGAAAGACAUCACUCACAGAAGAAGCACCGGCUAACUCCGUGCCAGCAGCCGCGGUAAUACGGAGGGUGCGAGCGUUAAUCGGAAUUACUGGGCGUAAAGCGCGCGUAGGUGGCUUGAUAAGCCGGUUGUGAAAGCCCCGGGCUCAACCUGGGAACGGCAUCCGGAACUGUCAAGCUAGAGUGCAGGAGAGGAAGGUAGAACUCCCGGUGUAGCGGUGAAAUGCGUAGAGAUCGGGAGGAAUACCAGUGGCGAAGGCGGCCUUCUGGACUGACACUGACACUGAGGUGCGAAAGCGUGGGUAGCAAACAGGAUUAGAUACCCUUGUAGUC
This 465-nucleotide ribosomal RNA is filed under the name Vreelandella stevensii. RNAcentral describes it as "partial 16S ribosomal RNA". It matches the Rfam family "Bacterial small subunit ribosomal RNA", at positions 338 to 795 of the family's 1533-position model. The record is from RNAcentral. Lineage: Bacteria; Pseudomonadati; Pseudomonadota; Gammaproteobacteria; Oceanospirillales; Halomonadaceae.